This 252-nucleotide ribosomal RNA is filed under the name uncultured bacterium. RNAcentral describes it as "partial 16S ribosomal RNA". It matches the Rfam family "Bacterial small subunit ribosomal RNA", at positions 336 to 605 of the family's 1533-position model. The record is from RNAcentral.
UUCCUGCGGGACGCAGCAGUGGGGAAUAUUGCACAAUGGGGGAAACCCUGAUGCAGCAACGCCGCGUGAGUGAAGAAGUAUUUCGGUAUGUAAAGCUCUAUCAGCAGGGAAGAAAAUGACGGUACCUGAGUAAGAAGCCCCGGCUAACUACGUGCCAGCAGCCGCGGUAAUACGUAGGGGGCAAGCGUUAUCCGGAUUUACUGGGUGUAAAGGGAGCGUAGACGGCGAUACAAGUCUGAAGUGAAAGCCCGG